AAAUUGAGUAGAAGCGUUCAGCAUUUUUAUAAUUAUCCAAUCGAAAAUGCAGGUCAUUGCUCAAAGA
This 67-nucleotide non-coding RNA is filed under the name Acinetobacter populi. Its description in RNAcentral is "Xanthine-I sequence". It matches the Rfam family "Xanthine riboswitch aptamer (NMT1 RNA)". Rfam says of the family: Later it was reported as a ncRNA that recognised Xanthine. The record is from Rfam by way of RNAcentral. Lineage: Bacteria; Pseudomonadati; Pseudomonadota; Gammaproteobacteria; Moraxellales; Moraxellaceae.